This 268-nucleotide ribosomal RNA is filed under the name uncultured bacterium. Its description in RNAcentral is "partial 16S ribosomal RNA". The record is from RNAcentral.
CUGCUGCCUUCCGUAGGAGUUUGGACCGUGUCUCAGUUCCAAUGUGGGGGACCUUCCUCUCAGAACCCCUACUGAUCGUCGCCCCGGUGGGCCGUUACCCCGCCGGCAAGCUAAUCAGACGCAUCCCCAUCCUUUACCGGCCGAAGCCUUUGGUCAUGAAAAUAUGCAUCAACAUGACAACAUACGGUAUUAAUCCGCCUUUCGACGGGCUGUCCCAUAGUAAAGGGCAGGUUGGAUACGCGUUACUCACCCGUGCGCCGGUCGCCAU